CAGAAAGUAAUUUAAUAUAAAAUAUUAAUUUUGGAGAUUAAAAAUAGAAUGAUAAUUCUUUUUCUGA
This 67-nucleotide transfer RNA is filed under the name Aleochara postica. Its description in RNAcentral is "tRNA-Pro". Lineage: Eukaryota; Metazoa; Arthropoda; Insecta; Coleoptera; Staphylinidae. The record is from RNAcentral.